This 1011-nucleotide long non-coding RNA is filed under the name Nicotiana benthamiana. RNAcentral describes it as "long non-coding RNA (NBEN_LNC031836)". The record is from RNAcentral. Lineage: Eukaryota; Viridiplantae; Streptophyta; Magnoliopsida; Solanales; Solanaceae.
ACUGUGCCAUCUGUAGGAUAGGUGGGACGUUCUUAUGCAAACACAGAUAAGUCACCAACGAGGGAAAAUAAAACCCCUUAGACAGCAAUGGGCCCCUCAGAAACAUCUCAUCCCCAAUAAUCCGGGCAGCAUCAAACUCUUUGCCAGUCAUAAAGCACCAAGUCAAGACUGCUCUAUUGAAAUUCACGUCCGUGGUGUUGCCGGACGGUAUGAAACGGCUGCAGAUCACGGUCAGCCAACAUAUUUCCAGGUGCGUAAAGGAGGAGGAGUUCAAGGUCACGCCAUUCGCGACCCAAGUCGCUUUCCCCCAACACAAAGUGUGGCAAUCAAAUCAUCUCAUGUGAAAUCAGGCCGGCCAUGGUAGUCGUCAACAUUGCCUGUAAAUGAAGGCAGUUGCAAGGCGCUCUGAAUGUAUGGGACAUAUUCAUGGACAUAUACACCCCUCACAAACACUCGCCUAAGCGAAGAAGCCGGGCAGUUGGCAUAAAAUUCUUGCACAAUCAUCGGGUUGAUCGGGCAAGGAUCAUCAAACAGGAAUUCCAUCUGUCGCCGCUGAAUGUCCUCGUACAUCUCGUCUUUUUUUGCUCGGGGGGUAGCCUGGUCAAUCGAAACAUCCUAAAUAAAGGUCUUCCUAGCCUUAGCGUGAAAAUCAUCCUCCGCCUGUUCAGAGGCGAACCUAGACUCAUCAUAUGUGGGUUGGUUGGAUGAGCCAGCCCCUUACUUUUGUUUCUUUCUAGUCAUAGUACCGGCAUAGAGACCAGACAACCCAUUAGAUUCAUUCAAAGCAGUGUCAAACGGGUGGUUACUCAAACUUCACCACCUACUGACACCAUAAUAACACCCCCUUUUGUAGUUUCAAGUGACACACAUUGCCCCAUUAGCAUUGUAUUGAAGGCCUGCCAACCUAGCUAAAUACAAACAUUGGCCAACACCAACCCACACUUACUAUUUCACCCAAUUUAUAAAUAAUAUAACCCCCGAACUCACCAACUAGCAGACCCCACACUUAGA